AUUGUAGGUGAGAUAAGUUUUUUUUUAAAUUGCGUGCUGAUAGCAUAGUCAUAUCUUUUUAUUAUGUUAAGAUGUAUAUACAAUGUAUCACAAGCAAUCUUUAUUCGUACAAUUAUUUCAGGGUUGUUUGUAGAUUUUACGAUAUAUUAAAUUUUGUCUUCCGUUUCUCUAAAUGAGCCAUGGCUCCAUGGCUCUAUGCAAUCAAAAGUCUGUAACGCCAAUUGCGCAUAACGUGGCGCUACAGACUUUU
RNAcentral lists this small RNA (250 nucleotides) under Spisula solidissima (Atlantic surf clam). RNAcentral describes it as "cnRNA121". The record is from RNAcentral. Lineage: Eukaryota; Metazoa; Mollusca; Bivalvia; Venerida; Mactridae.